This is a non-coding RNA of Salvelinus sp. IW2-2015, 2039 nucleotides long. NCBI's taxonomy places the organism in Eukaryota, Metazoa, Chordata, Actinopteri, Salmoniformes, Salmonidae. The record is from RefSeq and is a predicted model, not a curated record.
UAAAGCUUUGAAUGGGUCGAUUGGGUUCUGGAGGUGUGUGGUUACAGCAAUUGCGCAGGGUUGGUGUGGCCUGUUGUGGUGUGGCCCAAUGUGAUAUAUUUUCAAGGGGCCCAAAAUCCCUGGCGGCGCCUGCUCAGGUGAGAAGCUUCCUGAGGUUUCCUCUCUCCAGGCCAGGAGAGUGUAUGAGCCUGUCAUCAUUCAGCAGCAUCUGUCACUAUGGGAGAGCCUGCAGUUUACUGAGAAGUCAAAAAGCAGUCAACAUGGAGAACCUUCCUGUCAACAAUAGCAAUGGUCAGUCCUAUGACUACACUCUAUAUGAGACCACCAUCAGCAGUGGAGACCUUCUGAACUCCAGGAACAAUGUUAAAGACAGAGCCCUGGUGUUUGUGGACUAACUCUUUGUUGGAGUUCUGGACUAUAAGAUGCUGGAGUUUGCACUGCCUGAUGGGAAGGUGUAGUGAUAGUGUGUUUCGGGCGACAGGUAGCCUAACGGUUAUAGUGUUGGGCCAGUAACCGAAAGGUUGCUGGUUUCGAAUACCUGAGCUGACAAGGUGAAAAAUCUGAUGUGCCCUUGAGCAAGGCAAUUAUCCCUAAUUUGCUCAAGGGGCACCAUACUACUAUGGCUGUCUCUGUAAAACAACACAUUUCACUGCAGCUAUCCGGUGUAUGUGACAAUAACCCAUUAUUUUAUUCUAUUCAGUCUAUAGGUGUGCUGCUGAGCUGCUUUCUAAACUGGCUAGUUUAUAUUCAACACCAUGAUAGAGGUGAAAGCUUCUGGUAAUGCUGAUCAAUGAGUGUGUUACUAAGGUGCCAGGAUUAAGCCAACAAAGUUUCCAGACAAAUGUUGUUCUAACAAAGAAGAAUCGUAAUCACUAACUUUGCACCUGCCUGUUAUUGGAAAACAAGUCCAUGCUGUCCUAUAGCACAGCAGCAGAUUGGACUUGAUCAAUUAUUAUCUUCAGUUCAACUGAAAGCCACGUUUCCUCUACUGUCUCUAGUUAGUCUACUUUGCAUUGUGGACUGUAGAUAGUACGUCCAAUUGUUUCCACAUAUUUCAUGUACUUUCCAUUGAAGGGGGAGAGGACAUUGAGUUUACAUGUGGAGAACUGUGGGAGAGUGAACUGUGGUAAACUCCAAGAUGAACAGCGUAAAGGCAAUUCGAUAGUUUUACCUACUGUUUCUGGGUCAGUGAUAGCCUUGUGGUAGUAUAACUAGACACAUCUAUUGGUAAAUCCUUUCAGAAUAGGUGCUCAAAAGCAGCUAAUUAACCACAAUGUAGAAAAUCAAAGACCGCCUUAUUUCAGCCUUGGCUUAUUUUUCAGGUCUUGUCGGAGACAUUGAGUUGAACAAUAACCCGCUAUGAGGCUUUAUCAUUCAUAGUCUGGGUAUGAAGCCUGGCUUUGUAAAUAGGUUUGUACUGAUCAUGAACAUCUUUCAAUUUCCGUCCCCAUGUUUAUUUGUUCUGUUCUGAGUCUGUCAUUGCUCCUGCCUAGCUCGGAUUCUGUUGAUUAUCUUCUUGGUUCUCUCUGAGCGUAGAAUUACAAUGCCAGAUUGCAGAAAAAACAGAUUUUUCAUGUGGUUUCCCACUGCCAUGUUAAAAACCCAUUAUAAUCAGCUGGGAAAUUAGCGCUGUCUUGAAAAUGCCUGCCCACUAAGAACAACACUACAUCAGAAGAUCAGAAGUGGAAUUAAACCAUUUAUAUAUCCACGACUGAAGUCAUGCCAUUGUACACUCUCACAAAUGAUCUCGUUAUAUUAAUAAAUAUAAUGAGGAAUCAUAUUAGUCAGUGAUUUCCUGUGUUAUAAUAGGGUGAUCUCCUCCCAUGUUUCAGACUGAGUGCAGCAAGCCAGUGGAACUCUGUCUCCCAGAGGCUUUCCUUCCUUCCCAGGGUUCUUCCAGGGCAUGCUGUAUGUGGGCGGCCAUCCCAGAGACACCUUCAUCAGACUGCCUGGCUGGAGUAAAGGAGUGGUCUUUAUCAACGGGCAGAAUCUGUGACGCCACUGGUCCAUCGGUCCCCAGCAAACCCUCUACCUCCCUG